RNAcentral lists this long non-coding RNA (11201 nucleotides) under Nicotiana benthamiana. RNAcentral's name for it is "long non-coding RNA (NBEN_LNC006866)". The record is from RNAcentral. Lineage: Eukaryota; Viridiplantae; Streptophyta; Magnoliopsida; Solanales; Solanaceae.
CUUCCCUUCCUCAAACCAGAGAAACCUCCCCAGAACCCUAGCAGCUGCUCCCAAAUUCCACCGCCGGCGAUGGAAGCGCCACCUCCAUUUUCAUCCAAAAGUACACCCCUUAUUCUUCUCCUCCUCCUCAUUUCCGAUCCACAACACGUUUUCCUUGAACCCCAACACAACUCGUCGAAUCAUCAACCAAAGAUUUCUGGCCAAAACUCAAAUUUCUCCGUUCAUCACCAAAUUUACACCAUAGGACCUCCAUGGCAUCCCCUCUCAAACCAUCCAAGUCUCAUCCCUUGAAUCACCGCCCAUCUUCUCAAAUAUUAAUUCUUAAAAUUCAAGCCAAAACCCUAAUUGCCCCAAACUUCACCAAUUUGAUACCAAAUGACCCUCUAACCUUCCUCGUAGUGACUUGGUCAUCAAUCGAGCUUUAUUUUUGCUGGAGUUGGUCGGGUUCGAAUUUGGAAAUUUGACCGGAGUCUCGAAGUUAGUCAGUGAGUUUUCGAGUUUAAUUUUUUUUUAUUUUUCCUUUUCCUUGAUAUUCACUGACCGUCCAUGAGUAUGUAGCUUCUUAACUUUGUUUGGAAUAAAUGUCAGUUCGAAAUCAAUGACUCUUCCGUAUUUCUGUUUUUUUAUCCUUAUCUGUUUGAUUUGUGUUAAUUUAGGUGAUUAAUUGGCUAUUAGUUAGAUUCGUUUCAAUUUGGCUAUUUGAAUAAUGAUUCUUAAUCUCAAUUGUAAUUCUAUUUAGUUAAUACUCGUUUGAAUGUUAUAUGGUUGUUAAGUCUAAUUAAAUUCAGUUUUAUAAUUAAUUUGGUUUCAAGUCUUUGAUUAAGAUGGUUUAAAUCAUCAGCAAUUGAUCACCUUGGUGUGUGUUUGGUUUGUUGAAGAUUGUUAACUAGAUAAUCAUAGGUAGGGGUUUGGGUUCAUGAAUUUUAGAAGUACUAAAGGGUAGUUUAGAUAUUUGGUAUUGGGUAGAACAUGGUAGAUCACACUAGAAUAGUUUAGACCCUUCUAGAAUAGGACCUUAGUGAUAUUUCAGUAAACUCAUGGUGUUUCCUUGAGUAACAAGUUUAAAAAUGAGGGACAACAACUGAAAAUGAAGAGGGACCAAAAGAAUAACUAAAAACCUGAUUGUUGCCUAUAAAAAGGCAUCAAAAAUGCCUUGAUGAGGUAAUUUUGGAGAGCCACAUAAUCCCCCCCNNNNNNNNNNNNNNNNNNNNNNNNNNNNNNNNNNNNNNNNNNNNNNNNNNNNNNNNNNNNNNNNNNNNNNNNNNNNNNNNNNNNNNNNNNNNNNNNNNNNNNNNNNNNNNNNNNNNNNNNNNNNNNNNNNNNNNNNNNNNNNNNNNNNNNNNNNNNNNNNNNNNNNNNNNNNNNNNNNNNNNNNNNNNNNNNNNNNNNNNNNNNNNNNNNNNNNNNNNNNNNNNNNCCCCCCCCCGAAAAAAAUACUCUCUAUCUGAAAUUCAAAUCUUCAAAACAAAGCUCCUUUAGAUCUUAACUUCUUCAAAAAGAAAAAUAAAAAAACAAAAGAAAAUAUGACAAGAAAAUCCAAAAUAGUUCAGUUACAUUGCACUUUACUAGGUUAUUUUGAGUUUUGAACAUUAAAACUAUUCUCCUAGCUUGGGUUUUUAAAUGUUGAAGCUUCAAAAUCGUUUUUGAUGGGAUUUCGAGUGAUUUUGGCAUCCAUUGAGUUGUUCUGGGUCAGCUGUUAAGUGUUGGGUUGCUGUGAAGUAUUCCCAUUUUCUGUGAAGUUAUUUUUGGCUCAAUUAAAUCUGAUUGUUGUUGUGCUUGACUGACUGGAGUCCGUUAGCUGUUACUGGUUGCUGAUAUCUCUUUUCUUCUCUUUUCGUUGUAAUCCAGGUACACGUUUUGAGUUUCUCAACUCAUUUGAAGUGAAAUGAAGUGCUGGUUGGACCUUUCCUGCUUAAUUCCCUUAUUGUUUUCUUUGACUUGAUAUUGAAUAUAACUCCUUAGUAUAUAUUGGAUUAAUAGGUGUAUAACUGACUGCAGAUUUGUUAACUUACCUUCUAGCAUUUUAUUAAUUUAUGUAAUAAAAAUGGACUGUAUUAGGACUGUGUUUAACUGAUCUGGGCUAAUUAAAUCUGCGUUUAUGUUUGUUCAUUCCAUGAUAGCGAUUUAGUACAAUGUAAUCCGAAACCACAUGAUAAUCGCAUUUGGAAAGAGAAACUGAGUUGCUAGUAUUGAUUUAAUAAUGUCCACUUGAAUCCAUUAGAAAUGUUCAAUUUGUUUGUGUUAUCAAAUUGUGUUUCCAUUAUGCUUAGUAAUAUACAUGAACUCGCCAGUGGCUAAUUAGUAAAAUGAUUUAAAUCUUCAAUUGGAUUCAUAGUGUCAAUGUUUCAUUAGAUUGAAAGAUGCAUAUCGCUUUUCCUUGACUACAAAUUGAUAAACACGUUUGAAUGACCUGAAGUGAUCCUAGAGGUGUUUGUUCAAAAAUUGAUUUCUGGGCAGUUUGGGCCAGCAUUAUCACUGACGGUCCAGGUCUCGUUUCAAAUGUGCACCUAUGUGGAUUUAGGCCCAGGCUGGUGUUUGGCCUCCCUUCUCGCCGCAUUGGGGUACGGACUGGGCCGUGUUCAAGAGCAGAAAAUGACUAAGUAAUUGAAUUCAUGUGUCCCUAAACCCCCUAACAUAAGUAGCUUUUAAACAAUUUGAUUAAUUAAGAUUUCUUUUUCAUUAAGAGACAAAAAAUAGAAAAUUCAUAGUCUCUUUUUGGUUUGCCUUUAAAUAUUAAUUGAGAUGAGCCUUGCCAAACAAAAUUACGGGGCCCUCAAUAAAAAUUAUAUUUAAUUUAGACUUCGGGAUGUGCCAUUUAGUGAAUUUCACGGUCUUCCCUAAAGAUAACAACGCAUUAGACACUUUAGGCGCAAUGUUAAUAAAUCACAUUCCUAAACUUGGCUGCGUAUUGAUGCGACCCAAAUUCAAAUCUCAACGGACUCAAAACGUGUUAACAACCAUGGGUGCAUUGAUUGCGAUGUGGUUCGAGACGCAUUUUCUCACCGGGUCCAACCUCUCCUUUGCAAAAAUAGCCAAAAAAAUAUCAAAAUUUUAAUUUUCAUCAUAAAUAAGUCGGGUGAUUCCGUUUUCGUCAAAAAUAGCCAAAUGUUCCCAAAAGGGAUGUCGGAAGGCUGACUUUUGCAGAAACGGCCACCUUGGGCCAUUUUUAGAUUUUUGGCUAGUUGACCCACACAGCCUUAUAUUUUUCAUCCCCGAGGCGCUGAAAGGCCGUGUUUGCAAUACCAGGUCUUCAUUUUAAUUUCAAAAACAAGAAAAGUCAUAAAUAGGUCAGGUGAUUCCAUUUGUCAAAAAUAGCCAAAUGCUUCCAAAAGAGACGCCGGAAGGCUGACUUUGCAUAGACAACCGCCUUUGGUUAUUUUUUGGGUUUUGACUGGUAGCCCGCACAACUUUAAAAUCUUCGUCCCUGAGGUGCUGAAAGUCCGCGUUUGUAAAACCAGGUCUUUUAUUUCAAUUUGAAAAAAAACAAGAAAAAGAGUCAGAGGUCAAGUGAAUACUGCUUGGAUUUUUGGGAAAAAUAAGCCGAGCUAUCUUCGGCAGUGUCUUAAACCGUUCUUGCCGAGAUAGACUUAGCGUAUAUUUCAUUUGUCGAAAGAUUAUUUUCUUAAAAGAACGGGCAAGUUUGUGAAAUAUCAUAAAACAAUCCUCCCUGGUCUCAAAAUUCAUGUGAAAUUGGGAAGGAGCCACGUUUGCAAAAAUAAGCAUUUGGUUAAACUCGGCAUAUAGGGAAGGAAUCUGUCGAUUUGUUUUUAAGCUUGUAUUUCUUUUGAUUAGAGUAUGUGGUUUGUUUGAUUUUAAGUCUGUAUUUCAUUUUUUUUGCCAAAGGCUGCUAGUUUAAGUUUGUCAGUUUUUAAAUCCUUGUAGCCAAAGUAGUUUUAUUAUGAAAAAUUGAAAAUUACAGAAAUGUUUUGUUGUUGUUUACCUUUUAUUUGCACGAAUUACGCUCGGUCUGAUUCAUUUGGGGUCAUGAUACUAGGCAAUCCACAUAGGAUUCGACCAUAACCAAAUAAAAAAAAAGAGAAAAAGAAAAGAGCGGAAAUAAAAGGAAAAGAGAGAAGAAAUACAAUAUGGCAAAAACAAAAAAGGGAAAGAAAAGAACGGAUAACCAAGAAAAAAGAAAUAAAAGGAAAGAAAAAUGAGAGAAGAAAGAAAGAAAAUAAGAGAAGAAAGAACGAAAAAGAGAGAAAGGAAAAGAGGAGAGUUUGCAAUCAAAAAUGAGAAAAGGUCGGGAUGACGCAUGCGAUCGAGCAAAAGCAUAAAUGAAAUUGUCUUCCAUUUAGGUGCAUUCAUUCCUCAGAUGUGCGAUUACCAAUGUGAUAAAUGCCCUAAAGCUAACAUGGUGGUUUCAUUUUGGCAUGUCGUAGCAGAAGGAUGGUUGGUUUGUGGUUCAUAAGGUAACUCAUCCAUACAACACAAUGUCGAAAAGUGAGGCAGUCAUUGCUGGCAAAGGGUUGAACAUAUGUAUUACUAAUCCGUCAAAAGGAAUUGUUGAAUCAGAAUAUGAGUUGAAAGAAAAGGUUUUGAGGUUGAAAAGACAAAUAGUCGAAAUGCACAAAGCUUGGACCGGUGGGUGUCCUCCGCCAUCAAUCCCCUAUGCCCAACAUUAUGCUUCAGAACCAAUUGUCAGGGUAUCGAGCCUAUACCAUCACGCUCUUCAUUUUGAGUCUCCUGAUGAGAAUGAAGCUUGCUAAAAUAGUGGAGCAGGAUGAGAUAUCCAGAAAGUUGGAAGGGUUUAAGAUCCCAAAGUUUAAUUUGUAUGAUGGGCAGGGAGAUCCAGUAGCCUACUUGAGGGAUUACUGCAAUAAAACGAGGAAUGUCGGCAAAGAAGAUGAGUUGUUGAUGUCGCAUUUCAGUGAGAGCCUGAUUGGGGCAGUCUUGGAAUGGCAUGAUCGUCAAGAUGUCGAGAAGUGGAACACGUUGGGCGACAUGGCUCUAGGUUUUGUGCGACAAUUUCAGUACAAUAUAGGCAUUGUCUCAGACCGUUCCUUACUAUCUGAGAUUGAAAAGAAACCCAAGGAAGGUUUAAGGAUUUCUUGCUUAUAUGGAACGAACAAGUUGCUCAAGAUGGUUCUUCCCUUGACAAAAAAUAUGUUGCUGAGCCCCGCCAAUGACAUGGUCCAGUUGUCGUUCUUGCCAAACGUCCUCAGCCUGACCUCCAAUCCCAAAGACAGGGCUCAAUGGUCGUUCUUGGUAAAUGCUUUCAGCCUCAAUACUGACCUCGUGAACAUCCCCAAACUCCACAUAAGUCACCUCAGUACUAUCCACCGAACAACAUCCGGCCAUCUGCUUAAUAACCAGUUCGCUUCUUAGGGCAAAAAACAGCACCCCAAAUUUCCCAUGUGCCUUCACAACAUUUUCAAGCAUCCAGAAACCCUAGCAAACUGGGAUAUGAAGGGAAACUGAAGAAAAAAAAGAAAUUCACGCCCAUCGGAGAAUCCUACACAAGUUUGUUUGAAAAGUUGAAGCAUGCUGGCUUGAUUAAGCCGCUCCUUGGCUGUACUCCAGACCCAUAUUCGAAAGGCUUUGAUCCUGCUGUUCGAUGCACGUACCACUCUAAUGUCCAGGGGCAUAGUAUUGAAGAUUGUUGAUCUUUGAAAAGGGAAAUAGAAAGAAUGAUUCAAGAAGGGUAAGUUGUGGUCAAGGACAGUGAUAGGGAGCAUGUGAAUAUUCUUGGGAAUUUGUUGAUUAAAGUUGAUAAUGAUUUUUGCAAUGUUGAUAUGAAGCUCAGUGGCUAAGAUACCGUGCUUGGAAAUCGGGAAGAUGGUCAAUUUCUUGGCCAGAUGGAUUAGAGCUUUGGUGGUCCAUUUUGCUGUCGUUUCUGCUAUCCGAGUUUGUUUGCAGGGUUGCGAUCUGGAUAUUGUAUUGUGAUUCAAACCCUCUUAUCCUUUCAUUUUGUUUAGUCGUAGUGGUUUGUUAGUGUUGUACAGGUUUGUUUCAAUUCAUUCAAGGGUUGUACUCCAGUUUGUUUGUUUGUUUUAUUAUUUCAACUGUUUUGUCGUUUCUUUAAUGCAAAUUCUGAUCUUUUGUCACUUCCAAUCAUUUCUCUUUGUUUAGUUCUUUUAUAACCUUUUGUUUUGUAUUUUGCUGGUUCAAGUGACAUGACAUGCACGCAUAAUUCUCAGUUUGAUCUUUAAAAGCUACGUUAGUCGGGAAGUAAUGAAACCAUUUUGAAGACGAUGCGGGAAUUUGAGGAAGCAAGAACAGAUUUAGACGUUUUGAGAUUGUUUGACGCCCGAACCAUGUGAAACUGGGUCAAAUAGAACAUAAAAAAUCCCCGCAAAAGCAAGUCGGCCAAAUUGAUAGGGGGCCGAUUGUGGUAAUAAAAAUAAGAUUGUUGCCCAAUGGCACAUUAUAUUUGACUUAUGUAGAAGAAAAACUUGUGUAAUGGCCGUUAAUUCCGAUGCGGUCAAGAGAUGCUGUAUAUGGUUUCUUUAUUCUGAUUGUACUUGUUUUUAGUUGGCAUAUUUUGAAGUUUGAAAUGACGAAGGCAUUUUGUUCUGCUAUCUAAAUACUUUACCCAUUUGUCACCCUCUUUGAGCCUAUUUGUUUACUUUCAUAUCCCUCUUUCGGAAUCAACGACACAAUCAUUGAAACGCAAGUGUCGAAGCUAAGCAAAUGAAAAAAGAAGGAAAAAGAAAAGGAAAGAAAGGAAAAAGAAAAAGAAAAAGGAAAAAGAGAAAAGGAGAAAAGGAAGACAAAGGAAAAGAAAAAAAGAAAAAAAUAAAAGAAAAGAAAGAAAGAGAAAAUAGAAAAAAAAAGAAAAAAAUGAAAAAAGAAAGAAGAAAAGAAAAACUAAAGGAAAAGAAAAAUCACAAACAAAACCAAAGUAAUUCUAUGACGUGAACUACGUUUGACUUGAUCCCAAAAGGGUACGUUGGCAGGCUCUCUGAGGUUCAGUCAUACCAAAAUAAAAAUCCAAUAAUCCCCAAACAAGAAAUUGGGGCAGAAGUUGCGGUUUUUUGAGAAAUUGGAUUUCGAAUGUUGUAAUUUUAACCCAUUUUUAAAUUAUUUUUGACACUUUAUACCCUUCUUUUCUAACCCUUUCCAAAAGACACAUUACGGUCCAAAGAAAGUCCUUUUGAUCAGUUUCUCAGAAAUGCCAAGUCAAUCAGGUAAAGAUAAUUCAUCUCCAGGGGCAACCCUCCGGUCCAAACAAGGAAAAUGAGAAUGAAAGAAUCUUAGUGAUGAAAACCCUCACAGGUACCCUCAAGGCGAUGAAAGCUAAUAGAAAUAAAAAACGAGAGAGUCUUAUUGGUGAAAACCUUUACAGGCACCUUGAGACGAUGGUAAGUUAAGAAAAAGAACAAAAUGAGAGAGGCUUGAUGGUGAAAACCCUUCGGGCACUACAAGUUGAAUAAAUACUGCAAAUCAUAUUGGAUAAGUGGAGCAUUGAAGCCGAGUUUCACAUUGAAAAGGGCACAACAGGAGCUGAACCUUAGGUUUGAUUGACAGAAUAUCUAUAGGUGCAUGUCAUGGUCAUUAGAGUUGGUUUCCAUACCCGGUAGGUUUCUACUUUGUAGUUUUCUCUUUAGGAAUCGUCUCUUUCCUUUGUACUUCACUCCGUUCCUCUAUUUUGUUCACCUCCCCUUUCUGAGUCUGUUUGGUUAUAACAAGUGAGAAAUGACUGCAAAGUUUGCCACCAGCUUUUCAAUUACACAAGAUGGGGUCUGGCUAGCAUAUCAAAGUGUCACAAGUCAGGAAAAAGAAUAAGACCACUGAGCUGGAAAUACUCAACAUACUUUGGGGGAGCAAUAGACUUCAAGGUCAAGAGCCAGGGGUUUCAACAUACUAUAGGUGACAAUGAACAUGCUUUGGGGUACGACACAAGGGUUGGUUAAAGUCAGUAUAUGAGGAGUGCAAAAAAUAGAAGGAAUAGGGUCUUGAAUGCAGAAGUUGUAUGACAAAGGAAGUGGUAAGGCAAGAAAUAAGCAGGGUUUUCAAAUAGAAAUGAAAGUUAUCGGCAAGUAAGAGUGCAACAGACCUUAGGGCCAAGGCCAUCAGAUAAUCCAAGAGACAACAACAUACUGUUGGGGGGNNNNNNNNNNNNNNNNNNNNNNNNNNNNNNNNNNNNNNNNNNNNNNNNNNNNNNNNNNNNNNNNNNNNNNNNNNNNNNNNNNNNNNNNNNNNNNNNNNNNNNNNNNNNNNNNNNNNNNNNNNNNNNNNNNNNNNNNNNNNNNNNNNNNNNNNNNNNNNNNNNNNNNNNNNNNNNNNNNNNNNNNNNNNNNNNNNNNNNNNNNNNNNNNNNNNNNNNNNNNNNNNNNNNNNNNNNNNNNNNNNNNNNNNNNNNNNNNNNNNNNNNNNNNNNNNNNNNNNNNNNNNNNNNNNNNNNNNNNNNNNNNNNNAACAGACAUUCUUUGCGAGUCAUGUGAAACACAAAGGUUGGGAGGAUGCCAGUUCAAUAAAUAGAGGUCAUCGAGUCUGAACCGAAAAGAGGGGUAGUUUGUGGGAUGAGGGCAACAGAAAGGGGUUGGUUCGUAAACAAGCAAGGAUUUCGAGUGGAGAUCAGUCAUCAUGCAAAAUAAAGAAGAAAUCGCCGCAAAGUUCAAGGCCAUAAAGCAACCACCGAAUUUCUAAACUGACAUAAUUUUCUUUGACGAAAAUAGUGGCAUACAAUUUGGUUGUUCCGGAGGAAUUCUCCAUAAGGGAAAGACGAGCAGUAAUCAGGUUUGACCGCAAGCGAGGUUUGAUUAAAAUACAAGAUAGUCAGGAAUAACAUAGGGGAAUGUGAGUUUCAGUCUUUAAAUUUUAUCUUUUGAAGUUAGGAGCCCACCCAUAUAACAAGGGAAUACAUUUCAGUCUUUAAGUUUUAAAUUUUGAAGUUGGGAGCCCGCCCAUAUAGCAAUGGAAUACAUUUCAGUCUUUAAAUUUUAAGUUUUGAAUUUGGGAGCCCACCCAUAUAACAAGGGCACACAUUCAGUCUUUAAAUUUUUAGUUUUGAAGUUGGGAACCCGCCCAUAUAACUAGGGAAUACAUUUCAGUCUUUAAAUUUUAAGUUUUGAAGUUGGGAGCCCGCCCAUAUAACAAGGGAAUACAUUUCGGUCUUUAAAUUUUAAGUUUUGAAGUUGGGAGCCCGCCCAUAUAACAAGGGAAUAUAUUUCGGUCUUUAAGUUUUAAGUUCUGAAGUUGGGAGCCCGUCCAUAUAACAAGGGAAUACAUUUCAGUCUUUAGCUUCUAAGUUUUGAAGUUGGGAGCCCGCUCAUAUAACAUAGAAAAACAUUCAAGUUCAGGUUCAGAGAGGUAUCACAAUUCAAGUUUUAGUUUAAAUUCUUAUUAAUAUACGGUAACAAGCACCUAGUAUUCCAAACUGGGGCAGAAAGUUUUCUUUGUUUUGUUUAUUUUGGUGAAGUCAGGAGAUUCAAGUUCAAAUCCAGCAGUCGGGAUCUCACCCGCAUAACAAGGGAAUAUAUUCAAGUCCAAGUUCAGAACUCAGGAGCCCACCCGCACAACAAGGGAAUACUUCAAGUUCAGCAAUUUGAAGAAAAGGAACAACAUCUCAGUUUGCAAAUUGGAAAUGGCAACAAUGGAUUUUAUCAAGAGAACACAAGACAACAAGACAACAAGGAAGUACAAGAGCAAGUUUAAAGAAUUUAGAUAGGACCUUUGUAAUUCAUAGUUCAUAAUUUAGGCUAACUUCUUUUUAUUUUGACAUGGUGUAAUAAGGGAGGUCAGCAAGCAGCAACAGAAACAAGGAAGUACAAGAACAAGUUUGAAGAACUUAGAUAGGACCUUUGUAAUUCAUAGUUCUUAGUUUAGGCUAAAUUUUUUUUUUAUUUUGACACUGUGUAAUAAGGGAGGUCAGCAAGCAGUAGCAGCAGCAAUCGCAGUGAAAUCACAGCUCCUAGUAGUCCCAGCUACCACACACUCCUGAACUACACUGACCUGAUUUUUGCUUAGCCCAGGAUAUGUAGGCAACCUCUGAAGCAGGGUGCGGUCAGUUCUUUCAAAAAUGCUUCACACGGAAUAUUCGAGCGGGCAAAAAGCGCUCGUUUUCUGCAUUUAUCUUUGCAAGAAAACUCUUCAUGUUUCCAGGAAAAGAGGGGCAACUAUGAGUAUGUGAUUUUUGUCCUAUAUAGGAAUUAUUCCCAAAAAUUAAAACAAAGUGAUUUUUUCAUUAUUUUUGCAAUUUUGUGAAUUUUGUUUUAUUUUCUCUUAAUUGUUUGCAUUUUUUUAUUUGUGCAGUUAAUUCACAUAAAAAAUACAAAAAUAUAUUUGCAUUUAGGUUUUAAUUUUACAUUUUUAGUAUUAAUUAGGAGUUAAUUUAUUUUAAAAACAAGAUAUGAAGAAAUAACAAAAAUGGUCCACUUUUGCAUUUUUAAGUAUUUUAGUUGUGAAUUCUCUACGAAAUAGUUUUAAAAUAAGUUUAGGAGUUAAUUAUUUUAAUUUUGAAACAUAUUAGGACUUAAUUUUAAUUUUUUUUGCAUUUUUAUAAAUAAGAAAAUACAAUAAUACAUAAUGAAUUACAAAAAUAGAUAAAAGAAAUAAGGAGAAAACAAAUAAAAGGGAGAAAUGGAAUAUUACAAUCCCAAAACCAACCCACACCUGUCCAGCCCAAAUCCUUAUAUCCGGUCCAGCCCCGCCUCCCCUUAAACGACAUCGUUUGAUAGAUUUAAUCGUGGUCCUUGAUCUCUGAUCCAAUGGUCAAUGAUGUCCUAGAUUCUUUAAUAUAAAAGUGUCCAAACACUCCCCACCCCCUUUUUUUCGUCUCUCUUCCCUUCCUCAAACCAGAGAAACCUCACUGGAACCCUAGCAGCCGCCCCCAAAUUCUGCCGUCGGCGAUUGCGGCGCCACCUCCAUUUUCGUCCAAAAUUAAACCCCUUAUUCUUCUCCUCCUCCUCAUUUUCCGAUCCACAACUCGUUUCCUCGAACCCCAACCAAAAUCGUCGAAUCUUCAACCAAAGUUUUCUGGCCAAAACUCAACUUUCUUCGUUCACCACCAAAUUUACACCAUAGGACCGACAUGACAUCCUCUCUCAAACCAUCCAAGUCUCAUCCUUUAAAUCACCGCCCAUAUUCUCAAAUAUUAAUUCUUAAAAUUUCGGCCAAAACCCUAAUUGCCCCAAACUUCACAAAUUUGAUACCAAAUGACCCUCUUACCUUCCUCGUAGUGACUUGGUCAUCAAUCGAGCUUUAUUUGUGCUGGAGUUGGUCGGGUUCGAAUUUGGAAAUUUGACCGGAGUCUCGAA